GAUCGCGGCACGGUUGAUGACCGGUUCGUAAUAACGUUUCAGGACCCGGGGGCAGUGCCCGGCGCCUCCACCACGAGCACCUUGCCCCGGGUACCGCACGGGGAUCAGAGCGAACGGCCGUCGUUGCGAGCCGCGCGUUGCCAGGGUGCUUCUGAUGGGGGCGAAACAGGAUCGACUGGACGGUAAAAGUUCCGCGAGUUUGAUCUUGCUUCGGCAAGGUACAAUGCGACUCUGAGGUAGGUACUCCUCGUCUGGCGCGAGCAACCCUCGUUUCAGGCAACAGGGCCAAAAACUAAAUGCCAACGAUAACGUUGUCAUGGAUGCCCGCCUCGCGGCGUAAGCAUCUUGCGGCAGGGUAGCCGUAGAAACAGAA
Molecule: transfer-messenger RNA, 373 nt
Filed under: Methylobacterium gregans
Lineage: Bacteria; Pseudomonadati; Pseudomonadota; Alphaproteobacteria; Hyphomicrobiales; Methylobacteriaceae
Rfam family: Alphaproteobacteria transfer-messenger RNA (bases 22-194)
Source: RNAcentral